UAUUAAGCAAUUUAUUCUACAAAUUUACUUCCCUUCUAUCUAUUGAUUUUUUAAAAAUUAUUUUGAUAGAUUUAUCUCAAAUCUUUCUCAUAUAAAUCUUUAUAAAAUAAAGUGAUGUAUAAAUUUAUUUAGGCAUAUAUCAAUUUUAAGAUUUAACUAUUAAAUUAUUUUUAUAUAAUUUUUAUUUAAUUAAUAAUUAGACUUAUAAAACUAUAUAAAAAUAUUAAAAAAAUAAAAUUUAUUAUAAAAAUAUUUUAGAUCCGC
RNAcentral lists this long non-coding RNA (264 nucleotides) under Ananas comosus (pineapple). RNAcentral's name for it is "long non-coding RNA (ACOM_LNC023371)". Lineage: Eukaryota; Viridiplantae; Streptophyta; Magnoliopsida; Poales; Bromeliaceae. The record is from RNAcentral.